This 899-nucleotide unclassified non-coding RNA is filed under the name Hevea brasiliensis (rubber tree). The record is from RNAcentral. Lineage: Eukaryota; Viridiplantae; Streptophyta; Magnoliopsida; Malpighiales; Euphorbiaceae.
AAGGAGUUGUUGGUGCACCUUUCCUAUAAGCAGAAUUAAAAAUGCAAUUCAGUUCCUAACAUCAGAAUUAAAAAGUAAUUAAGGAUAAUUAAAAACAGAUUUUUUUUUUCCUUUUUCCAGAAUAUUUAUAACAAGAUAUCAAAUAAUGUUGACAUUGGACCAUUAUAUUUUCAUGCUCAUGCAGUUAAACAAUGAGAUAAACCAUCCCAUAUCGGUAAGGUAUGUGGGUAAUGUGCCCCUUAUAAAGAUUUGGGUAAUCGUCUACCUCUUGAGCUAGAUUUUGGAGAUGAGUUAGGUCCGGUCCAUUUUCUUAUUAGAAACAAUACUAAUAUAUAGAUCUUACAUUAUGGCAUGGAACCCAAACUUCAGUUAAGACAAAAGUCUGUUUUACUUUGAACCCCAUAAUAUAUUUGAUUACGGCCAAAAGUGAAAUAUCAUGAUAUCCUUAAUAAACUUUAAUUCAUAGCUUGAUCUAACAGGCCAGGACCACAACAUUAACUAACAGCUUCAAGAACAGAAGAAUUGGGCCUAAUAUUCCAUGCAAAGGAACCAUGGAGUUUUUAUUCAUUCGCAUGCAAAUAUUAAUCCUGAUCAAUUUACGGUUCUUUCUAGAAUACCCUUCAAGCAGUCAACAACUUGCUAGGUGGUCCAUCAAUACUAAAGCAUGAAACUUGCAGGAUGGCAUCAUGAUUUAUAAAAUGAGUGGGAAAAAAAACCUUAGUAUUUGAUUUGAAUUGCCUAAAGCUAAACUUUCACAUUUGACAAAACAAAAACCAAAACAUGAGCAUAUAUUAUGUCAAUAACAAAGAAAAGAUGUAUCUAGAACAACCAGAAAAUUUAGCAUCUCAUUCCAGACUGAUUCACUUACCAAACAACACAAUUGCCGCAGACCAGUGCAA